CUGGUCCUGUCCUGACGCUGUGGCACGAAAGCGUGGGGAGCGAACCGGAUUAGAUACCCGGGUAGUCCACGCUGUAAACGAUGUCGACUCGGUGUGUGGCUGGCGUUAAGCCGGCUGCGUGCCUUAGCUCACGCGGGAAGUCGACCGCCUGGGGACUACGAGCGCAAGCUUAAAACUCAAAGGAAUUGACGGGGGCCCGCACAAGCA
RNAcentral lists this ribosomal RNA (207 nucleotides) under Pycnococcus provasolii. RNAcentral's name for it is "partial Bacterial small subunit ribosomal RNA". It matches the Rfam family "Bacterial small subunit ribosomal RNA", at positions 729 to 931 of the family's 1533-position model. The record is from RNAcentral. Lineage: Eukaryota; Viridiplantae; Chlorophyta; Pseudoscourfieldiophyceae; Pseudoscourfieldiales; Pycnococcaceae.